This 22-nucleotide non-coding RNA is filed under the name Arabidopsis thaliana (thale cress). The record is from RNAcentral. Lineage: Eukaryota; Viridiplantae; Streptophyta; Magnoliopsida; Brassicales; Brassicaceae.
CUCAGCCUAUAAAAUGAGUCUG